Long non-coding RNA from Oncorhynchus keta (chum salmon), 267 nucleotides. RefSeq lists it as uncharacterized. The record is from RefSeq and is a predicted model, not a curated record. The transcript is spliced from 3 exons. NCBI's taxonomy places the organism in Eukaryota, Metazoa, Chordata, Actinopteri, Salmoniformes, Salmonidae.
GUGUACACACACACACAUACACAUAUACACAGGUGUACACACACACAUACACACAUAUACACAGGUGUACACACACACAUACACACAUAUACACAGGUGUACACACACACAUACACACAUAUACACAGGUGUACACACACACAAACACACAUAUACACAGGUGUACACACACACAAACACACAUAUACACAGGUGUACACACACACAAACACACAUAUACACAGGUGUACACACACACAAACACACAUAUACACAGGUGUACACACA